RNAcentral lists this ribosomal RNA (116 nucleotides) under Candidatus Dojkabacteria bacterium. The record is from RNAcentral.
CCUAGUGUCAGUAGCGGUGCGGAACCACCUCUUCCCAUCCCGAACAGAGAAGUGAAACGCUCCAGCGCCGACGAUACUAUCCCUCUUGGGGGCGGGAAAAUAGGUCAUCGCCAGAU